AACUCUUGACAACGGAUCACUUGGCUAUCGCAUCGAUGAAGAACGCAGCGAAAUGCGAUAAGUAAUGUGAAUUGCAGAUUUUCAGUGAAUCAUCGAAUCUUUGAACGCACCUUGCGCUCCUUGGUAUUCCGAGGAGCAUGCCUGUUUGAGUGUCAUUAAAUUCUCAACCUUGAGUUUCGACUCUUGGAUUGGACUUUGGAGCGUGCUGGCGUCCCGCGUCGGCUCCUCUUAAAUGCAUCAGCGGAAAUCUAACCUUUGGCUUUUCGAACGUCAGUGUGAUAAUUGUGUUGCGCUGUCUUCAGAGUCGGAGUUCCGCUUACAGUGGUCUUCGGACAACUCUUAUCAAAUUUGACCUCAAAUCAGGUAGGACUACCCGCUGAACUUAAGCAUAUCAAUAAGCGGAGGAU
This 407-nucleotide unclassified non-coding RNA is filed under the name uncultured Atheliaceae. Its description in RNAcentral is "sequence contains ITS2". The stretch from base 1 to 155 matches the Rfam family "5.8S ribosomal RNA". The record is from RNAcentral. Lineage: Eukaryota; Fungi; Basidiomycota; Agaricomycetes; Atheliales; Atheliaceae.